Molecule: ribosomal RNA, 914 nt
Filed under: Hexagonia sp. (in: basidiomycete fungi)
Lineage: Eukaryota; Fungi; Basidiomycota; Agaricomycetes; Polyporales; Polyporaceae
Description: Hexagonia sp. (in: Fungi) partial large subunit ribosomal RNA
Rfam family: Eukaryotic large subunit ribosomal RNA
Source: RNAcentral
UAGCAUAUCAAUAAGCGGAGGAAAAGAAACUAACAAGGAUUCCCCUAGUAACUGCGAGUGAAGCGGGAAAAGCUCAAAUUUAAAAUCUGGCGGUCUUUGGCCGUCCGAGUUGUAGUCUGGAGAAGUGUUUUCCGCGCUGGACCGUGUAUAAGUCUCUUGGAACAGAGCGUCAUAGAGGGUGAGAAUCCCGUCUUUGACACGGACUACCAGUGCUUUGUGAUGCGCUCUCGAAGAGUCGAGUUGUUUGGGAAUGCAGCUCAAAAUGGGUGGUAAAUUCCAUCUAAAGCUAAAUAUUGGCGAGAGACCGAUAGCGAACAAGUACCGUGAGGGAAAGAUGAAAAGCACUUUGGAAAGAGAGUUAAACAGUACGUGAAAUUGCUGAAAGGGAAACGCUUGAAGUCAGUCGCGUCUGCCGGAACUCAGCCUUGCUUUUGCUUGGUGCACUUUCCGGUUGACGGGCCAGCAUCGAUUUUGACCGACGGAAAAGGGCUGGAGAAAUGUGGCACCCUCGGGUGUGUUAUAGUCUCCGGUCGCAUACGCCGGUUGGGAUCGAGGAUCGCAGCGCGCCGCAAGGCAGGGGUUCGCCCACUAUCGCGCUUAGGAUGCUGGCAUAAUGGCUUUAAACGACCCGUCUUGAAACACGGACCAAGGAGUCUAACAUGCCUGCGAGUGUUUGGGUGGAAAACCCGAGCGCGCAAUGAAAGUGAAAGUUGAGACCUCUGUCGUGGAGGGCAUCGACGCCCGGACCUGACGUUCUCUGAAGGAUCCGCGGUAGAGCAUGUAUGUUGGGACCCGAAAGAUGGUGAACUAUGCCUGAAUAGGGUGAAGCCAGAGGAAACUCUGGUGGAGGCUCGUAGCGAUUCUGACGUGCAAAUCGAUCGUCAAAUUUGGGUAUAGGGGCGAAAGACUAAUCG